GCGGGCAGUUCUUUUACUCCGCCGCUGGAUAAAGAGGAACUAUGGAAUUGAAAGCAGUAUUGGUAUUACCACAUUACCAAAUGAAUUCUAUGACCUAUGAAGAUGCUGUAGGAUAAAGGUUGUUGAUUAAAUUCAAGCAACAGCUGGAAUGGAUUUUGCACAACUUCGUCAGUCUCUGAUUCUGCUAAAUCAGUGAUCGUGAUGGUCAGCUGGAGAGAGCUGCUUUUCCUUGCAUUACAGAAAAGACGAGUGCGAAGAAACCAAAUGGGAACAGGAGUUGAAGCCUUCUCAUGAGACGUCAGAACCUUCAUGACCUUAAAUGAGUCUCAAAUAUUUGAGGAAACUAGUUGGGGAAUUUGUAGUGCAAUAAAAUAAAGAUUCCUUAAAUGUUUAUGUGCA
This is a long non-coding RNA of Pogona vitticeps (central bearded dragon), 399 nucleotides long. RefSeq lists it as uncharacterized. Lineage: Eukaryota; Metazoa; Chordata; Lepidosauria; Squamata; Agamidae. The record is from RefSeq and is a predicted model, not a curated record.